This 460-nucleotide ribosomal RNA is filed under the name uncultured bacterium. RNAcentral describes it as "partial 16S ribosomal RNA". It matches the Rfam family "Bacterial small subunit ribosomal RNA", at positions 338 to 795 of the family's 1533-position model. The record is from RNAcentral.
CCUACGGGGAGCAGCAGUGAGGAAUAUUGGUCAAUGGCCGUAAGGCUGAACCAGCCAAGUCGCGUGAAGGAAGCAGGAUCUAUGGUUUGUAAACUUCUUUUAUAGGGGAAUAAAGGUAUCCACGUGUGGAUAUUUGCAUGUACCCUAUGAAUAAGCAUCGGCUAACUCCGUGCCAGCAGCCGCGGUAAUACGGAGGAUGCGAGCGUUAUCCGGAUUUAUUGGGUUUAAAGGGUGCGUAGGUUGUUUUUUAAGUCAGCGGUGAAAGGUUGUGGGUCAACCAUAAAAUUGACGUUGAAACUGGAAGACUGGAGUGUGUUUGAGGUAGGCGGAAUGCGUGGUGUAGCGGUGAAAUGCAUAGAUAUCACGCAGAACGCCGAUUGCGAAGGCAGCAUACCGGCGCCCUACUGACGCUGAGGCACGAAAGCGUGGGUAUCGAACAGGAUUAGAUACCCUUGUAGUC